Molecule: non-coding RNA, 73 nt
Organism: Sphaeroforma arctica JP610
Lineage: Eukaryota; Ichthyosporea; Ichthyophonida
Source: Rfam
UCUUCUGUAGCUCAGUUGGUAGAGCGCACGCCUACGAAGCGUGAAGUCGCGGUUUCGAGUACCGUCAGAGGAA